AACGCGAAGAACCUUACCCAGGUUUGAAAUACAGAGGACAGCUUCAGAGAUGGAGUCUCCCGCAAGGGUCUUUGUACAGGUGCUGCAUGGCUGUCGUCAGCUCGUGCCGUGAGGUGUUGGGUUAAGUCCCGCAACGAGCGCAACCCUUAUCAUUAGUUGCCAACACGCGAGGUGGGAACUCUAAUGAGACUGCCCGGGUUAACCGGGAGGAAGGUGAGGAUGACGUCAAGUCCGCAUGGCCUUUAUACCUGGGGCUACACACGUUCUACAAUGGUCGGUACAGAAGGCAGCAAGACCGCAAGGUGGAGCAAAUCCCUAAAAACCGAUCUCAGUUCGGAUUGUAGUCUGCAACUCGGCUACAUGAAGUUGGAAUUGCUAGUAAUGACGUGUCAGCAAUAACGUCGUGAAUACGUUCCCGGGCCUUGUA
Molecule: ribosomal RNA, 427 nt
Filed under: uncultured Chlamydiae bacterium
Lineage: Bacteria; Pseudomonadati; Chlamydiota; Chlamydiia
Description: bacterial SSU rRNA
Rfam family: Bacterial small subunit ribosomal RNA
Source: RNAcentral